This 444-nucleotide ribosomal RNA is filed under the name uncultured Bacteroidales bacterium. RNAcentral's name for it is "bacterial SSU rRNA". It matches the Rfam family "Bacterial small subunit ribosomal RNA", at positions 80 to 507 of the family's 1533-position model. The record is from RNAcentral. Lineage: Bacteria; Pseudomonadati; Bacteroidota; Bacteroidia; Bacteroidales.
UUCCUUGCCGGCGACCGGCGGCACGGGUGAGUAACACGUACUGCAACCUCGCCCUCUUCCACGGGGGACGAACCGUUCCGAAACGGGAGGCGUAAUUCCCGCGUAGUAUCGGUUUCGGGUCGAUCCGACGAUCGAGGAAAGAAUUCAUCGGAAGAGGAUGGGCGAUGCGGCGCAUUAGCUUGACGGCGGGGUAACGGCCCACCGUGGCGACGAUGCGUAGGGGUUCUGAGAGGAAGGUCCCCCACACUGGUACUGAGACACGGACCAGACUCCUACGGGAGGCAGCAGUGAGGAAUAUUGGUCAAUGGGAGAGAUCCUGAACCAGCCAAGCCGCGUGAGGGAAGACGGCCCUAUGGGUUGUAAACCUCUUUUGUCGGGGAACAAAACCCGGGACGUGUCCCGGACUGCGUGUAUCCGAAGAAAAAAGCAUCGGCUAACUCCGUG